This 767-nucleotide long non-coding RNA is filed under the name Marmota monax (woodchuck). The record is from RNAcentral. Lineage: Eukaryota; Metazoa; Chordata; Mammalia; Rodentia; Sciuridae.
GGGCUUCAUUAUAAAACAGGAGAUGAGAUCAUCCCUCCUCUUCCCACACUCUUUGCCCUCCACCCCACGCCCCCCCAAAAGGAAUAGAAAGAAGAAGGAAUUGCACUGGCUUCUCACCUGCCUGCUGAAUACCUGCAACCUCCCCCUCAGCCCUGGCCUUUGAUGCUGGAGCCGGGCUUGCACUUGGGCCGAUGUGAGGACAAAGAGGGUACUGCGGACCCCGAGCCUUGCUCCCACCCCUUUUGCCUCACUCUCCAGACUUACCUCUCUAGCCUUUGGGAGGACCGUGCAAAAGGGAGGGCACUUAUUUGGAUGCCUUGUCGGGAACUAAUUUCUACUUUCUUAGGCAGAACAGAACUCGAUAUUCUUCUUCCCCAAAGCUACUCUCUCUCUAUCUAUCUGGGGCAAUUGAUUCCUCUUACUUUUCCUAUAGCACUAGAUUGUUGCUGAGGAAGCGAUUCUAAGUGCUAAAAUGUACGUGUAGGAAAAAAAAUCAAAGCAGAGAGGCUGCCCGGGAUCUUCCCCUUGGCAGGGCUUGCCCUUCGGAAGGAGCAGGCCAGCUUCUACCACAAGGUGACCAGAUGGAAGUUUUGACCAAAAGUCUCACUCACAAACGCCACUGCAUGGGGCUCGUGGUGUCCUGGGCAGGAGCUCCGGCACCAGGUAGGAGGGCUGGGCAGCCGCUCUGGAAUUAUUCCCUAGAGCUGUACAACCUCCGAUAAAUCAAUCCCUCUGAGCCUUAGUUUCCUGACUUCACAGGGUUUUGU